GAUGAACGCUGGCGGCGUGCCUAAUACAUGCAAGUCGAGCGAACAGAUAAGGAGCUUGCUCCUUUGACGUUAGCGGCGGACGGGUGAGUAACACGUGGAUAACCUACCUAUAAGACUGGGAUAACUUCGGGAAACCGGAGCUAAUACCGGAUAACAUAUUGAACCGCAUGGUUCAAUAGUGAAAGGCGGCUUUGCUGUCACUUAUAGAUGGUUCCGCGCCGUAUUAGCUAGUUGGUAAGGUAACGGCUUACCAAGGCGACGAUACGUAGCCGACCUGAGAGGGUGAUCGGCCACACUGGAACUGAGACACGGUCCAGACUCCUACGGGAGGCAGCAGUAGGGAAUCUUCCGCAAUGGGCGAAAGCCUGACGGAGCAACGCCGCGUGAGUGAUGAAGGUCUUCGGAUCGUAAAACUCUGUUAUCAGGGAAGAACAAAUGUGUAAGUAACUGUGCACAUCUUGACGGUACCUGAUCAGAAAGCCACGGCUAACUACGUG
This 497-nucleotide ribosomal RNA is filed under the name uncultured bacterium. Its description in RNAcentral is "partial 16S ribosomal RNA". It matches the Rfam family "Bacterial small subunit ribosomal RNA", at positions 28 to 507 of the family's 1533-position model. The record is from RNAcentral.